Molecule: ribosomal RNA, 505 nt
Filed under: uncultured bacterium
Lineage: Bacteria
Description: partial 16S ribosomal RNA
Rfam family: Bacterial small subunit ribosomal RNA
Source: RNAcentral
GACGAACGCUGGCGGCGUGCCUAAUACAUGCAAGUAGAACGCACAGUUUAUACCGUAGCUUGCUACACCAUAGACUGUGAGUUGCGAACGGGUGAGUAACGCGUAGAUAACCUGCCUGGUAGCGGGGGAUAACUAUUGGAAACGAUAGCUAAUACCGCAUAAUAUUGAUUAUUGCAUGAUAAUUAAUUGAAAGGUGCAAUUGCACCACUACCAGAUGGACCUGCGUUGUAUUAGCUAGUAGGUGAGGUAACGGCUCACCUAGGCGACGAUACAUAGCCGACCUGAGAGGGUGAUCGGCCACACUGGGACUGAGACACGGCCCAGACUCCUACGGGAGGCAGCAGUAGGGAAUCUUCGGCAAUGGACGAAAGUCUGACCGAGCAACGCCGCGUGAGUGAAGAAGGUUUUCGGAUCGGAAAGCUCUGUUGUAAGAGAAGAACGGGUGUGAGAGUGGAAAGUUCACACUGUGACGGUAUCUUACCAGAAAGGGACGGCUAACUACGUG